Molecule: ribosomal RNA, 497 nt
Filed under: uncultured bacterium
Lineage: Bacteria
Description: partial 16S ribosomal RNA
Rfam family: Bacterial small subunit ribosomal RNA
Source: RNAcentral
GAUGAACGCUGGCGGCGUGCCUAAUACAUGCAAGUCGAGCGAACAGACGAGGAGCUUGCUCCUCUGACGUUAGCGGCGGACGGGUGAGUAACACGUGGAUAACCUACCUAUAAGACUGGGAUAACUUCGGGAAACCGGAGCUAAUACCGGAUAAUCUAUUGAACCGCAUGGUUCAAUAGUGAAAGACGGUUUUGCUGUCAAUUAUAGAUGGAUCCGCGCCGCAUUAGCUAGUUGGUAAGGUAACGGCUUACCAAGGCAACGAUGCGUAGCCGACCUGAGAGGGUGAUCGGCCACACUGGAACUGAGACACGGUCCAGACUCCUACGGGAGGCAGCAGUAGGGAAUCUUCCGCAAUGGGCGAAAGCCUGACGGAGCAACGCCGCGUGAGUGAUGAAGGUCUUCGGAUCGUAAAACUCUGUUAUUAGGGAAGAACAAAUGUGUAAGUAACUAUGCACGUCUUGACGGUACCUAAUCAGAAAGCCACGGCUAACUACGUG